GGCUUCAUGGUCUAGUGGUAUGAUUCCUGCUUCGGGAAAACACCUGAAGUCCCCGAUUCUUCAGAAUCGCCUUUGCAGGAGGCCCCGGGUUCGAAUCCCGGUGAAGCCC
Molecule: transfer RNA, 109 nt
Organism: Trichoderma reesei QM6a
Lineage: Eukaryota; Fungi; Ascomycota; Sordariomycetes; Hypocreales; Hypocreaceae
Rfam family: tRNA
About the family: Transfer RNA (tRNA) molecules are approximately 80 nucleotides in length. Their secondary structure includes four short double-helical elements and three loops (D, anti-codon, and T loops). Further hydrogen bonds mediate the characteristic L-shaped molecular structure. tRNAs have two regions of fundamental functional importance: the anti-codon, which is responsible for specific mRNA codon recognition, and the 3' end, to which the tRNAs corresponding amino acid is attached (by aminoacyl-tRNA synthetases). tRNAs cope with the degeneracy of the genetic code in two manners: having more than one tRNA (with a specific anti-codon) for a particular amino acid; and 'wobble' base-pairing, i.e. permitting non-standard base-pairing at the 3rd anti-codon position.
Source: Rfam